This is a long non-coding RNA of Zea mays, 376 nucleotides long. RefSeq lists it as uncharacterized. The record is from RefSeq and is a predicted model, not a curated record. Lineage: Eukaryota; Viridiplantae; Streptophyta; Magnoliopsida; Poales; Poaceae. The transcript has 3 exons.
ACAGAUAUUUUUAAUAAUGACCUCGGUGGACCCUAUGCAUUUCUUGAGCCACCUUUUGUUCAAAGACCCCUUCUAUAUAAGAUACAGGCAAGGAGAAAAAAGAGCCAAGAGUGGUGAGCACCAGCGGUGCACUUUACCAAUUUAGGAUUAGGACUAUAGUUUCUUUGUUAGUUAGUUUUUUAGCUGUCGCCGUUGUAAGAUCAUUUGAGGCUUGGCUUAUUGGAGUUUCUCUUCCAGUUUCCUUUACUAUUCUUUAGGAACUAUGUACAUAGAAUAAGUAAUAUAAAUUGUUGGUGUCUUCUUCUCAUGAUUCUGUUUUUACUUGGCUACAACUCCAAAAGUUGUAGGAUUAAUAUAUCAUUUUGGUGUCAAAUAA